GAUGAAGAACGCAGCGAAAUGCGAUAAGUAAUGUGAAUUGCAGAAUUCAGUGAAUCAUCGAAUCUUUGAACGCACAUUGCGCCCGCUAGUAUUCUGGCGGGCAUGCCUGUCCGAGCGUCAUUUCAACCCUCAAGCCCCCGGGCUUGGUGUUGGGGAUCGGCGAGCCUCCGCGCCCGCCGUCCCCUAAAUCUAGUGGCGGUCUCGCUGUAGCUUCCUCUGCGUAGUAGCACACCUCGCACUGGGAAACAGCGCGGCCACGCCGUUAAACCCCCAACUUCUGAACGUUUGACCUCGGAUCAGGUAGGAAUACCCGCUGAACUUAAGCAUAUCAAUAAGCGGAAGA
Molecule: unclassified non-coding RNA, 343 nt
Filed under: soil metagenome
Description: partial contains 5.8S ribosomal RNA, internal transcribed spacer 2, and large subunit ribosomal RNA
Rfam family: 5.8S ribosomal RNA (bases 1-120)
Source: RNAcentral